Molecule: transfer RNA, 71 nt
Filed under: Marmota monax (woodchuck)
Lineage: Eukaryota; Metazoa; Chordata; Mammalia; Rodentia; Sciuridae
Description: tRNA.Ala
Source: RNAcentral
GUGGAUGUGGCUCAAGCGGUAGUGCGCUCGCCUGGCCUGCGUGCAGCCUGGGUUCGAUCCUUAGCACCACA